Molecule: ribosomal RNA, 777 nt
Filed under: uncultured bacterium
Lineage: Bacteria
Description: bacterial SSU rRNA
Rfam family: Bacterial small subunit ribosomal RNA
Source: RNAcentral
GUCGGGCGGCAGCGGGGUGGGAGCUUGCUCCCACUGCCGGCGAGCGGCGCACGGGUGAGUAACACGUAUGCAACCUGCCCCUGUCAGGGGGACAACCCGCCGAAAGGCGGGCUAAGCCCGCGUAUAUCGCCCCGGGGCAUCCCGGGGGGAGGAAAGGAGCGAUCCGGACAGGGAUGGGCAUGCGGCGCAUUAGCUGGUCGGCGGGGUAACGGCCCACCGAGGCGACGAUGCGUAGGGGUUCUGAGAGGAAGGCCCCCCACACUGGUACUGAGACACGGACCAGACUCCUACGGGAGGCAGCAGUGAGGAAUAUUGGUCAAUGGGCGGGAGCCUGAACCAGCCAAGCCGCGUGAGGGAAGAAGGUACAGCGUAUCGUAAACCUCUUUUGUCAGGGAACAAAGGCGGGGACUAGUCCCCGGAUGAGGGUACCUGAAGAAAAAGCAUCGGCUAACUCCGUGCCAGCAGCCGCGGUAAUACGGAGGAUGCGAGCGUUAUCCGGAUUUAUUGGGUUUAAAGGGUGCGCAGGCGGCCUGUUAAGUCAGCGGUAAAAGCCCGGGGCUCAAUCCCGGCGAGCCGUUGAAACUGGCGGGCUGGAGUUGGAGAGAAGUACGCGGAAUGCGCGGUGUAGCGGUGAAAUGCUUAGAUAUCACGCAGAACUCCGAUUGCGAAGGCAGCAUACCGGCGCCCGACUGACGCUGAAGCACGAAAGCGUGGGUAUCGAACAGGAUUAGAUACCCUGGUAGUCCACGCAGUAAACGAUGAAUACUAGCUGUCCGG